Molecule: ribosomal RNA, 554 nt
Filed under: uncultured cyanobacterium
Lineage: Bacteria; Bacillati; Cyanobacteriota
Description: bacterial SSU rRNA
Rfam family: Bacterial small subunit ribosomal RNA
Source: RNAcentral
UCUGAUUAGCUAGUUGGUAGGGUAAAAGCCUACCAAGGCAUCGAUCAGUAACUGGUCUGAGAGGAUGACCAGUCACACUGGGACUGAGACACGGCCCAGACUCCUACGGGAGGCAGCAGUGGGGAAUUUUCCGCAAUGGGCGAAAGCCUGACGGAGCAAUACCGCGUGAGGGGGGAAGGCUCUUGGGUUGUAAACCUCUUUUCUCAGGGAAGAACAAAAUGACGGUACCUGAGGAAUCAGCAUCGGCUAACUCCGUGCCAGCAGCCGCGGUAAUACGGAGGAUGCAAGCGUUAUCCGGAAUGAUUGGGCGUAAAGCGUCCGCAGGUGGCUGCUUCAAGUCUGCUGUCAAAGCUCAGGGCUUAACCCUGAAUCGGCGGUGGAAACUGAACAGCUAGAGUGCGGUAGGGGUAGAGGGAAUUCCCAGUGUAGCGGUGAAAUGCGUAGAGAUUGGGAAGAACACCAGUGGCGAAAGCGCUCUGCUGGACCGCAACUGACACUCAUGGACGAAAGCUAGGGGAGCGAAUGGGAUUAGAUACCCCAGUAGUCCUAGCCGU